UCUCUGGUAGUUCAGUGGUUAAAACUCCGCACUCCUGAUGCAGGGGGCCCAGGUUCGAUCCCUGAUCAGGGAA
Non-coding RNA from Hippopotamus amphibius kiboko, 73 nucleotides. Lineage: Eukaryota; Metazoa; Chordata; Mammalia; Artiodactyla; Hippopotamidae. The record is from the annotation of a RefSeq genome assembly.